UUAAACUAAUGGAAGUUCAAUGGAAGCUACCUGCAUGUAGAAUCUGCAACUCUACUAGUCUUCUUCUUUGAAGUUUCUGGCUUUGCCCCUAGAAAUUCUCAAGGAGAAAAGGGGUUUUGGUUUACUAUAUAUACUUAUAUAUGUGUGUGUGUGUGUGUGUUUCUAAUCUGGCUUUGUUUAACUCCUCAAAAGCUUGCCCUUGUUUCUAUGAAUCAGAGCUGGUAUGUCCACUAAUACUAAAACCCUAAGUAGCAAUUAUUCCGGCGAAGACGAUAGUGAGCUUAGGAGAGGGCAAUGGAUUCUUGAAGAAGACAGUCUUCUUAUUCAGUACAUAGAGCGCCAUGGCGAAGGCCAGUGGAACUUGCUUGCCAAACGUUCAGGAUUAAGGAGAACUGGCAAAAGUUGCAGAUUGAGAUGGUUGAAUUAUCUGAAACCCGACGUUAAGCGAGGCAAUCUUAGUCCUGAAGAACAGCUCUUGAUUCUUGACCUCCACUCAAAAAUGGGCAAUAGGUGGUCGAAAAUCGCACGGUAUUUACCGGGAAGAACAGACAAUGAAAUCAAGAACUAUUGGAGAACAAGGUACACAAACAAGCCCGGCAUCUCAACAUCGACACGAAAAGCAGGGAGUUUCAAAAUAUGAUAAGGUGCUAUUGGAUGCCUAGGUUGAAGCAGAAGAUAGGACGAGAAACCUCGAUUUCUUCAGCUGUGUUAAACCAAAAUCCUACGAUUUCUCAGCCUCGAGAAAACAACACUUUCCAACAUUUUACGGCAACAAUAUCCCCGCCACCACAAAUCCUUGUGCAGGAAGAAAUUAAUAUGAGUGGAACAAUGUACAAUUUGGAUGUCGAAAAGCAAAACACAGAGGCAGAUUACUGCAGAAGUUCGUUCAUUUUCCCCUCAGAACCAAUGGACAUGUCGAAGACUGCGCAAUUUCCGGAAUGCCCUCCUUUCUAUUGUGGUGACAACAAUGGCUACGACAUGGAAUCCUUCAAUCUGCAGGAAUCUGUGUCAGCAGACUCAGCACCAAAUUUCCCUGGAAAUUCCGCCGGCGAUUGCUACGUGGCAGAAAACAACUGGUUUGACAGUGAUUUUUUCAUGUAGCAUGUGGAACAUGGAUGAAAUGUGGCAAAAUAGGAAGUUGUGACUCAUACAAAUUAGUUUAUAGAUCAUUUCAUCAAGUGUUAAGCAGCUAAUUUUCUACCCAACACACAAAAUUGUGCAAGUUGUUGAUAUGAAUUUUUUUUAAUGCAAAUACUGUUAGUACUGAAAAUGGUAUGGUUAUGAGACGAGCACUAAGGCUCCGAGUUCACUUUGUCUUCGGGUGCAGUUUCAUAUAUUUUUACAGCUUCAACCUACUUGGUUCUUGAAUAAAAAUAAAAUAAAAUAUAUCUGCCUCUGGCC
RNA transcript from Malus domestica (apple), 1401 nucleotides. It is a transcript of the gene named transcription factor MYB62, with no coding region annotated. The record is from RefSeq and is a predicted model, not a curated record. Lineage: Eukaryota; Viridiplantae; Streptophyta; Magnoliopsida; Rosales; Rosaceae.